GGUUAAUGUAGCUUAAUAAUUAAAGCAAGGCACUGAAAAUGCCUGG
RNAcentral lists this transfer RNA (46 nucleotides) under Rhinonicteris aurantia (Orange leaf-nosed bat). Its description in RNAcentral is "partial tRNA-Phe". It matches the Rfam family "tRNA", at positions 1 to 44 of the family's 71-position model. From Rfam's summary of the family: Transfer RNA (tRNA) molecules are approximately 80 nucleotides in length. Their secondary structure includes four short double-helical elements and three loops (D, anti-codon, and T loops). Lineage: Eukaryota; Metazoa; Chordata; Mammalia; Chiroptera; Rhinonycteridae. The record is from RNAcentral.